RNAcentral lists this ribosomal RNA (846 nucleotides) under Escherichia coli. RNAcentral describes it as "bacterial SSU rRNA". It matches the Rfam family "Bacterial small subunit ribosomal RNA", at positions 1 to 822 of the family's 1533-position model. Lineage: Bacteria; Pseudomonadati; Pseudomonadota; Gammaproteobacteria; Enterobacterales; Enterobacteriaceae. The record is from RNAcentral.
UAUGAGAGUUUGAUCCUGGCUCAGGACGAACGCUGGCGGCGUGCCUAAUACAUGCAAGUCGAACGCUUUUUCUUUCACCGGAGCUUGCUCCACCGAAAGAAAAAGAGUGGCGAACGGGUGAGUAACACGUGGGUAACCUGCCCAUCAGAAGGGGAUAACACUUGGAAACAGGUGCUAAUACCGUAUAACACUAUUUUCCGCAUGGAAGAAAGUUGAAAGGCGCUUUUGCGUCACUGAUGGAUGGACCCGCGGUGCAUUAGCUAGUUGGUGAGGUAACGGCUCACCAAGGCCACGAUGCAUAGCCGACCUGAGAGGGUGAUCGGCCACACUGGGACUGAGACACGGCCCAGACUCCUACGGGAGGCAGCAGUAGGGAAUCUUCGGCAAUGGACGAAAGUCUGACCGAGCAACGCCGCGUGAGUGAAGAAGGUUUUCGGAUCGUAAAACUCUGUUGUUAGAGAAGAACAAGGAUGAGAGUAGAACGUUCAUCCCUUGACGGUAUCUAACCAGAAAGCCACGGCUAACUACGUGCCAGCAGCCGCGGUAAUACGUAGGUGGCAAGCGUUGUCCGGAUUUAUUGGGCGUAAAGCGAGCGCAGGCGGUUUCUUAAGUCUGAUGUGAAAGCCCCCGGCUCAACCGGGGAGGGUCAUUGGAAACUGGGAGACUUGAGUGCAGAAGAGGAGAGUGGAAUUCCAUGUGUAGCGGUGAAAUGCGUAGAUAUAUGGAGGAACACCAGUGGCGAAGGCGGCUCUCUGGUCUGUAACUGACGCUGAGGCUCGAAAGCGUGGGGAGCGAACAGGAUUAGAUACCCUGGUAGUCCACGCCGUAAACGAUGAGUGCUAAGUG